CCUACGGGCGGCAGCAGUGAGGAAUAUUGGUCAAUGGACGGAAGUCUGAACCAGCCAUGCCGCGUGCAGGAAGACGGCUCUAUGAGUUGUAAACUGCUUUUGUACAAGGGUAAACCUGAAUACGUGUAUUCAGCUGAAAGUACUGUACGAAUAAGGAUCGGCUAACGCCGUGCCAGCAGCCGCGGUAAUACGGAGGAUCCAAGCGUUAUCCGGAUUUAUUGGGGUUAAAGGGUGCGUCGGCGGAUUGAUAAGUUAGAGGUGAAAUGUCCGGGCUUAACUCGGGAACUGCCUCUAAUACUGUUGGUCUAGAGAGUAGAUGCGGUAGGCGGAAUGUAUGGUGUAGCGGUGAAAUGCUUAGAGAUCAUACAGAACACCGAUUGCGAAGGCAGCUUACCAAUCUAUAUCUGACGUUGAGGCACGAAAGCGUGGGGAGCAAACAGGAUUAGAUACCCCUGUAGUC
This 460-nucleotide ribosomal RNA is filed under the name uncultured bacterium. RNAcentral describes it as "partial 16S ribosomal RNA". It matches the Rfam family "Bacterial small subunit ribosomal RNA", at positions 338 to 795 of the family's 1533-position model. The record is from RNAcentral.